ACGGAAGGCAGCAGCUAAGAAUAUUCCGCAAUGGACGAAAGUCUGACGGAGCGACGCCGCGUGAACGAUGAAGGUCGGAAGAUUGUAAAGUUCUUUUAUAACUGAGGAAUAAGUAUGGUGAGAGAAACGCCAUAUGGUGACUGUAGGUUAUGAAUAAGCAACGGCUAAUUACGUGCCAGCAGCCGCGGUAACACGUAAGGUGCGAGCGUUGUUCGGAAUCAUUGGGCGUAAAGGGCAUGUAGGCGGUCUGUCAAGCCAGGCGUGAAAGCCAGGGGCUCAACCCCUGAACUGCGCUUGGAACUGGCGGACUGGAGUCGCUGAGGGGGAACCGGAAUUCCUGGUGUAGGGGUGAAAUCUGUAGAUAUCAGGAAGAACACCGAUGGCGAAGGCAGGUUUCCAGCAGACGACUGACGCUGAGGUGCGAAGGUGCGGGGAGCAAACAGGAUUAGAUACCCUGGUA
This 460-nucleotide ribosomal RNA is filed under the name uncultured Treponema sp. Its description in RNAcentral is "partial 16S ribosomal RNA". It matches the Rfam family "Bacterial small subunit ribosomal RNA", at positions 341 to 792 of the family's 1533-position model. The record is from RNAcentral. Lineage: Bacteria; Pseudomonadati; Spirochaetota; Spirochaetia; Treponematales; Treponemataceae.